GACGAACGCUGGCGGCGCGCUUAACACAUGCAAGUCGAACGGAAAGGCCUGCUUUCCCUUGUGGAUUGCGGGUACUCGAGUGGCGAACGGGUGAGUAACACGUGAGUGAUCUGCCCCCAACUUGGGUAUAAGCCUGGGAAACUGGGUCUAAUUCCCGAUAGGACUGCAGGGUGGUGCCUGUGGUGGAAAACGAUUUCCUAGUGGUUGGGGAUGAGCUCGCGGCCUAUCAGCUUGUUGGUGGGGUAAUGGCCUACCAAGGCGGCGACGUGUAGCCGGCCUGAGAGGGUGGACGGCCACAUUGGGACUGAGAUACGGCCCAGACUCCUACGGGAGGCAGCAGUGGGGAAUAUUGCACAAUGGGCGGAAGCCUGAUGCAGCGACGCCGCGUGGGGGAUGACGGCCUUCGGGUUGUAAACUCCUUUCGACCGCGAGGAAGCCACCUGGUUGGAAGGGUGGUGACGGUAGUGGUAGAAGAAGCACCGGCUAACUACGUG
RNAcentral lists this ribosomal RNA (494 nucleotides) under uncultured bacterium. Its description in RNAcentral is "partial 16S ribosomal RNA". It matches the Rfam family "Bacterial small subunit ribosomal RNA", at positions 28 to 507 of the family's 1533-position model. The record is from RNAcentral.